CAAAUAUUGUCUACUGGGAAGAGUAAAUAGUGUUAGAUUUAACAGAGAGUACAUGAUUGCUGAAAAUGUACAGUUUAACUUAUUGAAGGUAGCCCACAUUGAACUUUAGCUGAACUGAUAUAACAAUUGCUUGUAUAUCAACUAGGUUAAAGCGUGUUUGAGCGUUAAUCAUAAUUUAAAGUGCAUGAAGUUAGCGAACUAACUUCAUGAAUUUAGGUGGUACCACGGAAUAUCCGUCCUAUAU
RNAcentral lists this non-coding RNA (244 nucleotides) under Staphylococcus succinus. RNAcentral describes it as "T-box sequence". It matches the Rfam family "T-box leader". From Rfam's summary of the family: Uncharged tRNA acts as the effector for transcription antitermination of genes in the T-box leader family. Lineage: Bacteria; Bacillati; Bacillota; Bacilli; Caryophanales; Staphylococcaceae. The record is from RNAcentral.